This 467-nucleotide ribosomal RNA is filed under the name uncultured bacterium. RNAcentral's name for it is "partial 16S ribosomal RNA". It matches the Rfam family "Bacterial small subunit ribosomal RNA", at positions 28 to 507 of the family's 1533-position model. The record is from RNAcentral.
GACGAACGCUGGCGGCGUGCUUAACACAUGCAAGUCGAACGGAAAGGCCCUGCUUUUGUGGGGUGCUCGAGUGGCGAACGGGUGAGUAACACGUGAGUAACCUGCCCUUGACUUUGGGAUAACUUCAGGAAACUGGGGCUAAUACCGGAUAGGAGCUCCUGCUGCAUGGUGGGGGUUGGAAAGUUUCGGCGGUUGGGGAUGGACUCGCGGCUUAUCAGCUUGUUGGUGGGGUAGUGGCUUACCAAGGCUUUGACGGGUAGCCGGCCUGAGAGGGUGACCGGCCACAUUGGGACUGAGAUACGGCCCAGACUCCUACGGGAGGCAGCAGUGGGGAAUAUUGCACAAGGGGCGGAAGCCUGAUGCAGCAACGCCGCGUGCGGGAUGACGGCCUUCGGGUUGUAAACCGCUUUCGCCUGUGACGAAGCGUGAGUGAAGGUAAUGGGGAAGAAGCACCGGCUAACUACGUG